CCCCCCCCCCCCCCCAUCAAAUAUCAAAUGGUCCGUCCCUAAGUAUUCUUGAUUGGAAAGAACCUGGUUUGUUUCAAUAAUCAGUAGAACUGAAACGAUAACAAGUGGGGAAGAUAACAGGUUAUGAUUAUGCAAUCUGCAGAAAUAAUGGGCGGUCUGCCUCCAAAUCAAUUAUGCAAUCUGCAAAAAUAUUGGGAGGUCUGCCUCCCAAAUUGACAUGUGAAAUUUUUAAUAGGGAUGCUUAGUCCCCCCUGAACUCCCAACCAGGGGGUAGCUUAGCCCCCUGAGACACCCCCCACCACACUUAAUAAUCACUUUUAACAAGAAAAGUGCUGUUUACAAAAUAUAAGUGCGAUACUGUCAUACUGAAGUCUUCAUGAUGGUAUCAACAUAAGAUUCGAUAAUUGUUCCAUCAUUUAACGUUUUACUUUCGAUACGUCAACAUAGGUUUUGAAUACUUUUCAUCGUAAAUAUCUAAAAUACGUGAUUUUGAAAAACUGCUUCUUGGUGAGCCAAGGAAGGAAGCUGAGCUUAGUAUCAAGGUCAUGUAGAUGCACGCAAACAAUGCUGUGAAAAUUCUCACCUUUCGAAAAUAUCUCAUCCAAAAUAGGAUGCAUUCUAUUCACAUGAUCACUUAUUUUUUAGAAUACAAUACAUUAGGCCAAGUAAAAAAAACAAGUGUUUCGCGCCCUCACCCCAGGCCGUUCCCUUUUUUUUACUUGUUUACCAGUCCAAAUGACAGACUAUUAUUUUG
This is a non-coding RNA of Paramuricea clavata, 754 nucleotides long. The record is from the annotation of a GenBank genome assembly. Lineage: Eukaryota; Metazoa; Cnidaria; Anthozoa; Malacalcyonacea; Plexauridae.